UAACAUAUAACACCAGGGUAUCUGGUCAACAAGGCAAGUAACAGUAUGUAUGCCAAUGGUAUAUGAGUGCUAAAUGUCGUUCCACGUAGUACAAAUAGGAGAGAAUGCAUGAAUGCAGGAAUGCAAAGCAAUGCACAUGACCGCUACGGUGUGUAGCCCGAUUCAUUUGGGUACCCGCGCUCACUGUGGGGGUUCAGACUUCGGAGGGGCUCCUACAGCCCAAGCGCGAUAUAAAUAUCACAUCGCUGCGGGUCGUGCAACCCGAUCCAUGCAAGUAUAUGCAUAUGCACACAUAAUACUUGAGGCCUGAAAGCCUCCUCAUAUCGCUCCUCAUGCCCUCACAUGGCCCUCGGCCUCAGAUUGUCCAAAAAUAGUCAAAAAGCCCCUCAGGCAUCAGUAAAACAAUAAUACUCAGCUCAAAUGAUAGUUCAAAUAUCAGUUAAAACUCCAAGUUUGAGUAAAAUAUGGUUGAGUUCAUAAAACAGUGCAAAUCACAUGGACUUAGUUCACCAAAUAUUUCAAACAGUGAGGAAAACAGUGAUAAUGGUUCAUAAAGAGUUCAAACAAUCGACAAUAAGCCCCAAGUAUGGCAAUGAACCAAAACUAUAAUGAUAACAACAAAGAAUUUACAAUUUAGCGGUAAAACCAACAACCGGGGCAGACCAAGUCACAAUCCCAACGGUGCUCUACCCCACGCUCAGGUCCAGCAUGCAAGUCACCACAAUACAGCACUAGGAUGUGCAAAUCCGGGGUUUCAAAACCUCAGGAUAUCAUUCCCAAAUAUUACUAACCUCGAACCGGCGAAAACGCAAGCUCGCGAUGCCUUUUCCCCACAAAUCAGCCUCCACGCGCGUCAAAUCUAGCCAAAAAUAGAGCGAAUAUAUCACAAUAUGCAAAUGGGACAAUACCCAGUCGAAAACAAUCGAAUUAUAGCAAGAAUCUCGACACUAGCAAAACCCGAGCCCCGAGCCCCGGGCCCGCUUCUCUAAAAAUUAUGAAAGUCACAUCAUCGGAUUCCUCGUCUCUCCACGAGUCCGUACAUAUAAAAUUUACCAAAAUCGGAGUUAAUUUGACCCUUCAAAUUCCCAAGUCUUAUUUUCAAAUCCCUAGACCUAAAUCCUCAAUUUCUAACCUCCAAACACGGAUAAAAAUUUAAACCAACAGAAAUAAUCAUGGAGAAAAAUCAAAAUAAAAGUCAGAUACUUACCCCCUUGCUGAGACGAGAACAACUCCGUGAAAAGCACCUCAAUCGGAGCUCUAGAACUCAAGUUAUGGCUGAAAUGCCAAACUUCUCGGUUUAUACACUGACUAGGUCGCUUCCGCGGACGUUUUUUCCGCUUCCGCGGACUUUUUGUCUUAUCUGGGACCGCUUUUGCGGUAAUUUUUCCGCUUCCGCGAUCCUGCUUCCACUUUUCCCUCUUCCGCGGACUUUUUGUCUUAUCUGGGACCGCUUUUGCGGUCAUUUGUCCGCUUCCGCUGUCAAUUUCUGCUUCGGCGGUUUUGAAAGAACCAGAUUUUAUCUCGGUAUGGAAACGAGAAUAACUUCCUCAUACAAACUCGGAAUUUGAUGAUUCGUUUUCCUAUGGAUCCGUAAUUUCGAUAUGAAUCUAAGGGUUCAAACAAAACUGAAUUUGGAGCUCAUUUGCUUAUUAUGGUACCCUUUAUUCCCAAAGAUACGGCGUUGGAACAUCAAAUAAGAGUGUGAUCGCAACCCGAAACACACCUGAGGCCCCCGGGACCCCAACCAAUCAUACCAACCAAUCCCAAAACACAUUACGAACUUGAUCGAGGCCUCAAAUCACAUCAAACAACACUAAAACCAUGAAUUACACCUCAAUUCAAGCUUGAAGAAUUUUGAAGUUUCCAACUUUUAUUUCCGAUGCUGAAACCUAUCAAAUCACGUCCGGUUGACUUCAAAUUUUGCACACAAGUCCAAAAUGACAUAAGGAAGCUACAGAAAUUCUCGGAAUUCCAUUCCGAGCCUCAGAUAAAAAUCUCACCUAUCAACCGGAAUUCGCCAAAAUACUAACUUCGCCAAUUCAAGCCUAAUUCUACACCGGACCUCUAAAUUCAAUUCCAAUGGCUCUCCUAAGUCACAAAUCAUCUCCUGAAGCUAACCGAACCACCAAAAUUCACAUCCGAGCCCUCUAGCCACAUAGUCAACUUUCGGUUGACUUUUCCAAAACAAGCUUCCUUCUAAGAGGCCAUGUGCCAUAUUUCCAACCAAAACCAAUUCAAUUACACCCGAUCGACUCUAAUACUGAUAUUGAAACUUGAAGAAACACAAUAAGGGGGAAACGGAGAAGUAACACAUAAGACGGCGGGUCGGGUCGUCACAUCCUCCCAACUUAAACAAAUACUCGUCCUCGAGUGUACCAUGAGUUGUACUAGAAGUAGACCAAUAGCUGAAUGACCUUACUAAGCAUAUACUCAGGGUGAUCCCACGUCACCCUAACUCACAUAGUUACCGAUAACACAACACAGCUGAAAUUUCACAAUCCAUCUGGCCCAUAAACCGUAGAACCACANNNNNNNNNNNNNNNNNNNNNNNNNNNNNNNNNNNNNNNNNNNNNNNNNNNNNNNNNNNNNNNNNNNNNNNNNNNNNNNNNNNNNNNNNNNNNNNNNNNNNNNNNNNNNNNNNNNNNNNNNNNNNNNNNNNNNAAUUAACCCGAACCAGCUGUAAUAACCCACACCUGCAACCUCAGGUGAAUUCAUACAAUAUACCACACAUUCCAACACUCGGAAUGAUGGCCUCUAUUUAUCGCAAUUGCCCACAAUAAACAAAUACUGAUAGUAAAACAUUCAUAUUAGCUAAAGUCUUAUCCCAACACCUUCACAUAUCGCCAACGGCAAAUGAAACACGCGAUAAACCGAACCUAUCUCUCAGAUCACCCAUUCAUGAGUCCAUUUCCUUUCUGAUUGAUACUACAACAUAUUUCGGAUCCAAACCUCGAUAUUAACUUUUUAACAAGCUGAAAUCAAAUAUGCUCGUACUCAUUAAUGACUCCAACGAUCGUCUCAACUACAACACGCCACUCGGGUGAUAUGACACCUCAACACCGGUCUAAACCACAACGUGCUCAACACAGGCACCAAUAAGAAAUUAUCUGAACACACUCAAACAAUGACAACUGACUCAAAUGAAAGAGCUGUAAUUCAAAUUCCUCCGUACGAUCACAGCACGGAACUGAGAUCCCAUCUCACAUCAUAGAAAUAGAGUACAUGAAUCCUCCUUGAAAGGUCAUAACAUCAUGUGGCCUUUCCACAACACGCAAUUCUAUCCAAACACUAUUACCCAUGAAACACCCCAAGUCACCAUGCUCACACAGACAGCCACGCACAUAUGGAGGUCUGAAGCCACAUGGAAUGUACUUUACUUGCCAACUAAGAGACAUGGAAUAUUCUUCACGCGCCCAUAACUCGGACUACAUAUUAAAGCACAAUAGGAAUCGAACACUCGACAGUUCAUCUGUUAUCCAUCAGACUUGUUCGUCACUACCAAUUUAUUUAGAUACACCUCGCAGUACUAACAUACACAUCACAUGGAUAUGCAGCCGCCAUACCGGACAAUAAGAACAACACUGAACUUCUAAGUUCAAAACACUUGCUCACACAUUCAGCACCUCGGUGCUUGCCAUACAGGCACAUAUACUAUUGAGCGCUCGCGUGCGCACACAGACGUGCGGAAGGAAUUUCAAGAGUUAUCUCAAACUGAAUCAAGUACGCACGAUAAGAAUUCCAAGAAUGGGAAGUUUUCCUAAAGGUUCUGCAGCCUCUCGAGGAUAAAUACAGACGUCUUCGUACCGAUCCGCGAGACUCUAAUAACCCUACUCAUGACUCGUAAGACCUAGUAACUUAGGCUCUGAUACCACUUGUCACAACCCAAAUUCCAUAUCCGCUCGUGAUGGCGCCUCUCGUGAAGACAAGGCCAGCCAAAAACCCCCCAAAUCCUCUUUAAACAGCUAUUAAACAUAAAUGAAUAGAAAUACUACUUAAUUGCAUUUAACUAUGAACUUUCAUUCCAAUACAACCAGAUCGGGGUGUCACAAGUCACGAGUAUCUAAUGAGUAGCGACACUACUACGGGACCAAUAAUGUAUAUAAAUACAAGAUGAAACCGGAUACAAAGAUGGAGUGCGGUGCCGCGAACGCAUGCGGUCACCUUCAACUACCACAAUAAGGCCUUCGGUCCUGCUAAUAAUCCGCUACCAGGUGAACAAUACCUGCAACUGCACGCAAGGUGCAAGGAGUAAAGUGAAUACUUCCAACUCAGUGGUAAUAAGAGAGAAUAAUAUUUGAGCGAUAAGAAAACACGCAUGAGCACACCAAACUGCUAUAAAAGACAGAACAACCCAUUUUGAGAAAAACCGAAAUACUGUAAAAAUCCCUUUUUGAAAAUCCCAAGUUCUGUUCAAAAUCUCAUAAAAUGUGCUUUUUCAACAAUUGCAAAGGUAAUUUCAACAAGUAGGAAAAAGUCAUAAACCUGCCCCUUGGGCUCAAUAUCAUCUUACAAUAUCCAACAUCAGCCUCUCGGGCUCAGCACUCCUUAACAUAUAACACCAGGGUAUCUGGUCAACAAGGCAAGUGACAGUAUGUAUGAAAAUGAUAUAUGAGUGCUAAACGUCGUGCCACGUAGUACAAACAGGUGUAAAUGCGUGAAUGCAAUGCAAUGCACAUGACCGCUACGGCGUGUAGCCGGAUCCAUGGUAUAUGAGUGCUAAAUGCCGUGCCACGUAGUACAAAUAGGAGAGAAUGCAUGAAUGAAAGAAUGCAAUGCAAUGCACAUGACCGCUACGGCGCGUAGCCCGAUCCAUUUGGGUACUCGCGCUCACUGUGGGGGUUCAGACUCUGGAAGGGCUCCUACAACCCAAGCGCGAUAUAAAUAUCACAUCGCUGCGGGUCGUGCAACCCGAUCCAUGCAAGUAUAUGCAUAUGCACACAUAAUGCUCGAGGCCUGAAAGCAUCCUCACAUCGCUCCUCAUGCCCUCACACAUGGACCUCGGCCUCAGACAGUCCAAAAAUAGUCAAAAAGCCCCUCGGGCAUCAGUAAAACAAUAAUACUCAGCUCAAAUGAUAGUUCAGAUAUCAGUUAAAACUCCAAGUUUGAUUAAAAUAUGGUUGAGUUCAUAAAACAGUGCAAAUCACAUGGACUGAGUUCACAAAAUAUUUCAAACAGUGAGGAAAACAGUGAUGAUAGUUCAUAAAGAGUUCAAACAAUCGACAAUAAGCCCCAAGUAUGGCAAUGAGCCCAAAUUUAUAAUGAUAACAACAAAGCAUUUGCAAUUUAGCGGUAAAACCAACAACCGGGAUAGACCAAGUCACAAUCCCAAUGGUGCUCUACCCCACGCUCAGGUCCAGCGUGCAAGUCACCACAAUACAGCACUAGGAUGUGCAAAUCGGGGGUUUCAAACCCUCAGGAUAUCGAUAAUGAUAACAACAUAGCAUUUACAAUUUAGCGGUAAAACCAACAAACGGGACAGACCAAGUCAUAAUCCCAACGGUGCUCUACCCCACGCUCAGGUCCAGCGUGCAAGUCACCACAAUACAGCACUAGUGAAAACAAACAACCAGGAUGGACCAAGUCGUGAUCCCCAACGGUGCUCUACCCCACGCUCAGGCGCAGCGUGCAAGUCACAACAAUACAGCACUAAGAUGUGCAAAUCCCGGGUUUCAAACCUUCAGGAUACAUUCCCAAAUAUUACUCACCUCGAACCGGCGAAAACUCAAGCUCGCGAUGCCUUUGCCCCUCAAAUCGGCCUCCACGCGCAUCGAAUCUAGCAAAAAAAAGAGCAAAUAUAUCACAAUAUGCAUAUGGGACAAUACCCAAUCGAAAACAAUCAAAUUAUAGCAAGAACCUCGAAACUAGCAAAACCCGAGCCCCGGGCCUGCUUCUCAAAAAAUUAUGAAACU
RNAcentral lists this long non-coding RNA (5909 nucleotides) under Nicotiana benthamiana. RNAcentral describes it as "long non-coding RNA (NBEN_LNC016854)". The record is from RNAcentral. Lineage: Eukaryota; Viridiplantae; Streptophyta; Magnoliopsida; Solanales; Solanaceae.